This is a long non-coding RNA of Hypomesus transpacificus, 862 nucleotides long. RefSeq lists it as uncharacterized. The record is from RefSeq and is a predicted model, not a curated record. Lineage: Eukaryota; Metazoa; Chordata; Actinopteri; Osmeriformes; Osmeridae. The transcript has 3 exons.
GAGAAAUGCAAAGAGCCUUCCUAGAGAACACAUGGGACUGGUAAAGUACAGCACGUGAAACCAACCUCCUCUGCUUCGUACACGCUCAGGCCUCAAUGGAGAACAGUGAAGAUAUCUUCCCUCGAGAGUUAGGAUUGUCCACACCUGUACCCAAUGAUCAACAGAAAUGUGCAGGUCACACUCAUCCCACGGGAAAGAUCCAGUCUAUUGGGGACAUUUAUCAGUUCACAGUAGAUGUCAGUGAAUUUUCUCUGGAGGAUGUUGUGAUCACCACUUCAAACAAUCUCAUAGAGGUCCGUGCAGAAAAGUGUGCUGAGAAUGGCACCGCCAUAAAUACUUUUGUUCACAAAUGCCAGUUUCCAGUGGACGUGGAUCCCAUGUCUGUGACAUCUUCACUGGGGAACAGAGGGGCACUCACAGUGAAAGCUCGCAGGAUUUCUUGAUCAAAGACGAUCCAUUUGGUUUUAUAUAUUGCUGCUCCCUCUCUCUAAUUACUUGAAAUUAAAUACCAGUGCAAACAUUUAACACGUUUAAUUUAAUUAUUUUGAGUCUGCCAGUGAUUGCUCUAGAGGUAUGCAUUUGGACACAAGGCCAUAAAGGCUACACCCAAUGUUACCAGUUAUGAUAAAAACUUUUGCGUGAUACCAGCACCGAUGUCAUUGAGUUUUAACAUUCUAUAGUUUCAGUUUGCGAUUGUCUGCUGUGUACGUAUGGAUUAGUAAUUAUGAAAGAAUUAAAAUGUUCACUCUGAUUAUCAGAGAAAACGUUGCAUACAAUAUAAGAUGCCAUUCAAAUAGUUCGUUGUAUUAACGUCCAAAUCUAUGCUAAAUUGCUGAUGAAUGCCCACUAAUCUUAAACACAA